AAUGUUAAAAUUUUUUGGUCCUGUCAUUUUCCGUACCAUCCGGAGGGAGCUGAAGUGGGUAGGAAUGAUAGGAAAACAUCACCCGGAUAUAGAGGAAAUGGUACAUUCGGUAGCGCGGUAGGAUAUUCCCAACUACAUCUGCUGCAACACUAACAUCCCAGCUCAAAUAGUUGGAAAAACUACAGCAGCAAAUUAAGUAAUACAACGGAAUAAUGCAAACCCAUCCUUGAGCAGAUUUCUAAAAAGGCUAGCCUCGCUUGGAAAGGAAUAACAAGAACUUAAACACUGUCCAUGGACCACUUCCGGCAGCGUCUACACUUGGUCCCAAUCAAGACACUCGUCGACAGCCCAACAGCAAGCUUCAGGGAACAGUCUGUAGUGACUCUACAACGCUAACACGAAAAUAAUGUCCGUCCCAGAAGGACUUCGAUUUCUACUGUUCAAAAAUGUCAAUAAAAAUAAUACUAAAUACUAUCACUAA
Molecule: long non-coding RNA, 481 nt
Organism: Uranotaenia lowii
Lineage: Eukaryota; Metazoa; Arthropoda; Insecta; Diptera; Culicidae
Exons: 2
Source: RefSeq, a predicted model, not a curated record